Molecule: transfer RNA, 67 nt
Filed under: Melanotus villosus
Lineage: Eukaryota; Metazoa; Arthropoda; Insecta; Coleoptera; Elateridae
Description: tRNA-Met
Source: RNAcentral
AAAAAGAUAAGCUAAGCCUAAGCUUUUGGGUUCAUACCCCAAAUAUAAAGUAACCCUUUUCUUUUUA